RNAcentral lists this ribosomal RNA (468 nucleotides) under uncultured bacterium. Its description in RNAcentral is "partial 16S ribosomal RNA". It matches the Rfam family "Bacterial small subunit ribosomal RNA", at positions 28 to 507 of the family's 1533-position model. The record is from RNAcentral.
GACGAACGCUGGCGGCGUGCUUAACACAUGCAAGUCGAACGGAAAGGCCCUGCUUUUGUGGGGUGCUCGAGUGGCGAACGGGUGAGUAACACGUGAGUAACCUGCCCUUGACUUUGGGAUAACUUCAGGAAACUGGGGCUAAUACCGGAUAGGAGCUCCUGCUGCAUGGUGGGGGUUGGAAAGUUUCGGCGGUUGGGGCUGGACUCGCGGCUUAUCGGCUUGUUGGUGGGGUAGUGGCUUACCAAGGCUUUGACGGGUAGCCGGCCUGAGAGGGUGACCGGCCACAUUGGGACUGAGAUACGGCCCAGACUCCUACGGGAGGCAGCAGUGGGGAAUAUUGCACAAUGGGCGGAAGCCUGAUGCAGCAACGCCGCGUGCGGGAUGACGGCCUUCGGGUUGUAAACCGCUUUCGCCUGUGACGAAGCGUGAGUGACGGUAAUGGGUAAAGAAGCACCGGCUAACUACGUG